UCUUAAGCGCACGCGAGUGGAACAAACGCCGGUGGAGUCCGAGGGCUUUUGUUCCAGCAAGCACCAGCCUGUCAACCGGCGCGAUCCAUGAGAUCCCGUGCGUGAAAUCGUCUUAACAAUUCGAUCUCUGUUCGAUUCGACGAUGGAACGUUUGUUCGACCGUGUUACGCGGGUCUCGCUGCGCCGAAACCCCUUUAGCGUCGCAGUUGGUUCGCGCCAUUGCCGAUUCUCGGGACAUCGCGAUUUUGAUAGUCGCUAAACAGCUAAAUCCGUAAAAAUAGACAUAUCCUGCCCGCCGUAAGAAGAGACUUCAGGUUGCACCGGAAACCGGUAAUAAAAAGCCUUUAUUAGAGCGAAGAAAUGAAAACUUAAUUCGCGAGGCACGACAAAAUUUUGAUGACGGUUCACGGCGAACAUUCGUGUGUUGGUCGCAGUUUAUUCGAUGUGUUUUUAUUUUGCGACGGAAGAAAAUGUGUCUCGUGCAUAGUUCGCAGCAAAGGGAAUUUUAAUUAAAGGUCAAAGUCGUAGAAGACUAUG
This is a long non-coding RNA of Megalopta genalis, 537 nucleotides long. RefSeq lists it as uncharacterized. Lineage: Eukaryota; Metazoa; Arthropoda; Insecta; Hymenoptera; Halictidae. The record is from RefSeq and is a predicted model, not a curated record.